AGUGAACGCUGGCGGCAGGCCUAACACAUGCAAGUCGAGCGGCAGCGCGUCCGACCACCCUCGGGUGGUCGGAUGGCGGCGAGCGGCGGACGGGUGAGGAAUGCAUCGGAAUCUGCCUCGUUGUGGGGGAUAACGUAGGGAAACUUACGCUAAUACCGCAUACGACCUACGGGUGAAAGUGGGGGACCUUCGGGCCUCACGCGAUGAGAUGAGCCGAUGCCGGAUUAGCUAGUUGGCGGGGUAAAGGCCCACCAAGGCGACGAUCCGUAGCUGGUCUGAGAGGAUGAUCAGCCACACUGGAACUGAGACACGGUCCAGACUCCUACGGGAGGCAGCAGUGGGGAAUAUUGCACAAUGGGGGAAACCCUGAUGCAGCCAUGCCGCGUGUGUGAAG
This 394-nucleotide ribosomal RNA is filed under the name uncultured bacterium. RNAcentral's name for it is "bacterial SSU rRNA". It matches the Rfam family "Bacterial small subunit ribosomal RNA", at positions 30 to 410 of the family's 1533-position model. The record is from RNAcentral.